This is a non-coding RNA of Camellia sinensis, 304 nucleotides long. The record is from RefSeq and is a predicted model, not a curated record. Lineage: Eukaryota; Viridiplantae; Streptophyta; Magnoliopsida; Ericales; Theaceae.
AUCAGUGGCACCGCAGCAGCUAUCAUCCUGACUAGAGUCAUCGGCUUAUGAGCCAUCCGCAGAUCCUUCGACUUCUUCACAGCCUCACUCAGGUCAUGUUAGUUCUUCAUCAACCUCGAGUAGGCGUGGUAGAGGAUGUGCCAAGGGCAUUAGGGAGUGGGGUACCGGUACCAAAUUGGACAUACAAUUUGAUGAAAAUUACUGUCCAAUAGGGGAUAACGUGUCUAAGUUAACUACUCAACUUGGCAUUAUUGUGCGAAAUGGUAACAUUGUUCCUCUUACUUUUCUUGACUGGAACACCGUA